Molecule: long non-coding RNA, 997 nt
Organism: Cygnus olor (mute swan)
Lineage: Eukaryota; Metazoa; Chordata; Aves; Anseriformes; Anatidae
Exons: 4
Source: RefSeq, a predicted model, not a curated record
CCUCAGUGCUGCAGAGCCGUUUCUCACAAUUUUUUUCCUCAGUCCUCGCUGCCAGGCAGUGUUUCGGCUUUUCUUAAACACUUUUACACAGAGCCACCACCUGCACUGCUGCUGGGCUCAGCUGUGGGGUCGGUGGUUCUGUUACUGAGGUGCUUGGAACGUUCUGGAACCCUCUGGAAAUGGCGGCGCUCCACACGAGGCAGCCCCUGUGCUCUCCUCACAGAGACCUGCAGCCCCUGCGGCCAACACCUGGGCACAGCCACCCAGCUUCAAACAAAAUCUGAAAGGUUUGGGAGGCAGCAUUAAUGAGAAGGACAGUGCAGCCACGUAAUGUGCUUCAGCUCUGGGAAAUUAUGUGGGGUUGUGGCGGCCCGUGUGCUGAGGAAAUAGCCUGCCUCAGGCUUGGGGGCACGGGCAGAAAAUGGAAGGGUUUGGAAAUGACCACUGAGGGGAAGAAACACCAUCUUAGAGGCACAGCAAAGACUUGUGAGAAGAUGGAUGUAGCUAGGAUGUUAAAAACAAGCAGUUAUAGUCCCGACAGGAAGGAUGGCGUCCCAGAAGUAGGGACACGGCCAUGCCUGCCCUCAAGCUGACAUCCAGCUGCAGCCAUGUGUCCGAUGGUGUGGCUCUGCAAAGCUGAGUUUUGCUUUGCCCGCACGAGGUGGGACCUGGAAGCUGAGGAGUGUGAACACCCCAAUGGCUGUGUCUGCAAGGCCUGGCCGAAGAGUGACAUGGGCUGCUGCUGGACAUGUAAUGGCUUAAGUGACUACACUUGUGUGUGGGGCUGCCCAGCAGCGUAGGCACCUCACUGGAGAACUCCCAACUCUCCUGCCAUAAACCCAAUGGUGCAGACUGGGAUGUGCUGGAGCGAAGCAGGCACUGGAUGGAGCUGGCUGUGGGCACUGCUGUGCAAGUUAGCAAGGCAGUCUAUGGAAAUUAUUUGAGACAGAUACUCUUUAAGUCCUGGUAUUGAGCAAGCUUUGAUAUACCCUGUGAG